GGAAUUCUACACAACAUCCAGAACAUAUUUAAUGUAUGUGUGUGCGUGUCUUUCUCGUUCUUAUUGAGGCCUUAGCUACAUUCAUAUAUUGUAGCUAAAUUCAUUUAUUAUUGAAUGAAAUAGAUAACAUGCUAUUUUUUUCUCAAAAAAAAAGAUAUAAAGGUAUAUGUAAAGUUUUUAUUAUUUGUAGUUUUUGAUGUUUAGCUAUAACUAAU
This 215-nucleotide long non-coding RNA is filed under the name Ananas comosus (pineapple). Its description in RNAcentral is "long non-coding RNA (ACOM_LNC014397)". Lineage: Eukaryota; Viridiplantae; Streptophyta; Magnoliopsida; Poales; Bromeliaceae. The record is from RNAcentral.